Molecule: ribosomal RNA, 466 nt
Filed under: Vreelandella stevensii
Lineage: Bacteria; Pseudomonadati; Pseudomonadota; Gammaproteobacteria; Oceanospirillales; Halomonadaceae
Description: partial 16S ribosomal RNA
Rfam family: Bacterial small subunit ribosomal RNA
Source: RNAcentral
CCUACGGGGGGCAGCAGUGGGGAAUAUUGGACAAUGGGCGAAAGCCUGAUCCAGCCAUGCCGCGUGUGUGAAGAAGGCCUUCGGGUUGUAAAGCACUUUCAGUGGGGAAGAAAGCCUUGGGGCUAAUACCCUCGAGGAAGGACAUCACCCACAGAAGAAGCACCGGCUAACUCCGUGCCAAGCAGCCGCGGUAAUACGGAGGGUGCGAGCGUUAAUCGGAAUUACUGGGCGUAAAGCGCGCGUAGGCGGUCUGAUAAGCCGGUUGUGAAAGCCCCGGGCUCAACCUGGGAACGGCAUCCGGAACUGUCAGGCUAGAGUGCAGGAGAGGAAGGUAGAAUUCCCGGUGUAGCGGUGAAAUGCGUAGAGAUCGGGAGGAAUACCAGUGGCGAAGGCGGCCUUCUGGACUGACACUGACGCUGAGGUGCGAAAGCGUGGGUAGCAAACAGGAUUAGAUACCCCUGUAGUC